CCUCACUUUGAAGUGUCUACUUAGUCUUCCUCUGACUCUGGGGUCUCAUUCUGAUGCCAGAAUAAUCCCCUUCUUGCAGAAAGGCCGGACUCUACUGUGGGCCGACCCUUCCAAUAGCUGGGAAGACCU
This is a small nucleolar RNA of Rana temporaria (common frog), 129 nucleotides long. NCBI's taxonomy places the organism in Eukaryota, Metazoa, Chordata, Amphibia, Anura, Ranidae. The record is from RefSeq and is a predicted model, not a curated record.